Long non-coding RNA from Peromyscus eremicus (cactus mouse), 757 nucleotides. RefSeq lists it as uncharacterized. The record is from RefSeq and is a predicted model, not a curated record. The transcript is spliced from 2 exons. Lineage: Eukaryota; Metazoa; Chordata; Mammalia; Rodentia; Cricetidae.
CCCAGAAUCUUGGCAAGUGCUGAAGCAGAGAGGCACUGAGCGCCAGCUCCCUGGCUCUGAUGAAAUAAUGUGAAUAGCUUAGGAUGUUUCCAGGCCCCUGGGAAUAAGGUCAUGCAAAGGGCACUGGCUCAGGGGUGAAUCGGAAGGAAGAAAGGAAGGAAGGAAGGAAGGAAGGAAAGAAGGAAGGAAGAGCAGGCUGAGGUCACUGAGCUGCAACAGGACGGUUAGCAGGGCUCACAGAAGGGCCAACUGCAGGAGCUGUACCAAGGCCAAAGGGAAAAAAAUAGUGGCUCAUCCUUUGGAAGAAGUUAGCCAUUCUACAUCCUCUGGGAUCCAGUAAUUGAAUUUCACUGUUGCCGUUACCAUACCCACCAACAAGCACGUCUUCCUGAGCAGAAUCAGUCAAGUGUCCACUGUGCUCAAAGGAUUGGUGUCCAGGGUGGAGAUUAGUCUCAGACCAGGAGGGCCGCGCACAUCUCACACGACUGAGACUGGCUGUCACUUGUGAGCUGAGAGCACAGGAAGCUGUGUGCAGUCAGGUCACCUUGAACAUCAUCCUCAGCUGGCAAACCCUGGGAAUCCUUGCUGAAAAGAAAACUGUGACGUUCCAAAUGGGCUUCCAUCAGAUGACCAGAUGGAGUCACUGCCAAAUAGACACUCCUCGGGGGGACAAAGGUCUGCAUACAGGAAAUUCUGUAACAAGAUAUUGAAAUUCCAUCUAGUAAAUAAACUGAAUAAGUAAAUAAAUAAUAAAAAA